This 495-nucleotide ribosomal RNA is filed under the name uncultured organism. RNAcentral's name for it is "bacterial SSU rRNA". It matches the Rfam family "Bacterial small subunit ribosomal RNA", at positions 28 to 507 of the family's 1533-position model. The record is from RNAcentral.
GACGAACGCUGGCGGCGUGCCUAAUACAUGCAAGUAGAACGCUGAAGGAGGAGCUUGCUUCUCUGGAUGAGUUGCGAACGGGUGAGUAACGCGUAGGUAACCUGCCUGGUAGCGGGGGAUAACUAUUGGAAACGAUAGCUAAUACCGCAUAAUAGUAGAUGUUGCAUGACAUUUGCUUAAAAGGUGCAAUUGCAUCACUACCUGAUGGACCUGCGUUGUAUUAGCUGGUUGGUGAGGUAACGGCUCACCAAGGCAACGAUACAUAGCCGACCUGAGAGGGUGAUCGGCCACACUGGGACUGAGACACGGCCCAGACUCCUACGGGAGGCAGCAGUAGGGAAUCUUCGGCAAUGGACGGAAGUCUGACCGAGCAACGCCGCGUGAGUGAAGAAGGUUUUCGGAUCGUAAAGCUCUGUUGUAAGAGAAGAACGAGUGUGAGAGUGGAAAGUUCACACUGUGACGGUAUCUUACCAGAAAGGGACGGCUAACUACGUG